RNA transcript from Maniola jurtina (meadow brown), 660 nucleotides. RefSeq lists it as uncharacterized. The transcript is spliced from 3 exons. NCBI's taxonomy places the organism in Eukaryota, Metazoa, Arthropoda, Insecta, Lepidoptera, Nymphalidae. The record is from RefSeq and is a predicted model, not a curated record.
ACGUUGUUUGUUUUGAAACUUCUCAUGAGAAAGUUACUGUACACGCUAUUUAUGAUUGCCUUAUUUGCUAACAACUGGGAAAAAACUAUACAGGUUAAAAUAUUUUAUUUUCAAAUUACGUUAUUUAAUUGAUUGAAUAAUCUUCUGUAAAGGUGUAUUUUAGAGCAGACUGUUUAUAACAAUGAAGAGCAUCCAGAGCUAAGUAAUAUGGAUGAUUUAUAUUUUUUAACUUCAUUCAUUUACAAGAAAACCCACGAAGAAUUGCAUACAGUAAGAACAGAAAAGAAUCAUCCAAGAUCAACAACAAUUUCUCCGGCAAAGCAUUUCUCAAAUAAUGCCAAAGUUAAAAGCAAAAUUGCAUCAGACACAAAAAGCCACUCUAAGCGAUGUCCUAAUGAUGAAACUUGUUUCUUACUACGAGGAGAAGUACAAAGUAGCAGAUCACGAACCAACAGAAAGAGAAACAAAAACCCCAGUGCUAAGUGAAAACGAUAUUUUAGACACUGAAAACAAAGAUGCACUAAGGAUUGGCUACGGGUAUAAAAAUCUUAAAAGCUAUUCUAAUAUAAUGGACGAGCCGGAGGUAGUAAUUGCCUGAUAGGCGUUAAUAAUCUUGUUUUUAAGGAUAAAAAGACGAAUAUAACUUAUUAUUGUUUGCGU